Molecule: ribosomal RNA, 253 nt
Filed under: uncultured bacterium
Lineage: Bacteria
Description: partial 16S ribosomal RNA
Rfam family: Bacterial small subunit ribosomal RNA
Source: RNAcentral
UACGAAGGGGGCUAGCGUUGUUCGGAAUUUCUGGGCGUAAAGCGUGCGCAGGCGGCUUCUCAAGUCAGGGGUGAAAGCCCAGAGCUCAACUCUGGAAUUGCCUUUGAGACUGAGUGGCUUGAGUACGAGAGAGGUGAGUGGAAUUCCCAGUGUAGAGGUGAAAUUCGUAGAUAUUGGGAAGAACACCGGUGGCGAAGGCGGCUCACUGGCUCGUAACUGACGCUCAUGCACGACAGCGUGGGGAUCAAACAGG